This 387-nucleotide long non-coding RNA is filed under the name Lathyrus oleraceus (garden pea). RNAcentral's name for it is "Pisum sativum (pea) long non-coding RNA (PSAT_LNC000034)". The record is from RNAcentral. Lineage: Eukaryota; Viridiplantae; Streptophyta; Magnoliopsida; Fabales; Fabaceae.
AAAUCGAUCAUUCAACACAUGUAACACAUUACAUGAGAAUUAUUCAACAAGGUGAAACAUCCCGUCCCGAUGUUACAUCUAUCAGAGCAUGACCCACUAAGGAGACUACACUAGACCCCAAGCACUAGCUUCUACUCAAUCACUGCUCGUUACCUGAAAAAUAGUUGUAAGGGUGAGUUCCUCAAUCGAUAUGAUAAGCAUUAUAAAAUAUCAUGUCAUGUUAAGUAAUUUGACACAUUAAUCACCCUAAUCACAUCACACAUUCAGUAACGGCACAUCAACUCAAACGUCAUACUCAAUAUCAACACAAGCACCACUGCUCAAUUAAAUUAAAUACUCAUACAACAAACCAACAAAAUGCAACUCUAAUGAGACUCGACUCGUCAU